This is a non-coding RNA of Cinara cedri, 320 nucleotides long. The record is from the annotation of a GenBank genome assembly. NCBI's taxonomy places the organism in Eukaryota, Metazoa, Arthropoda, Insecta, Hemiptera, Aphididae.
GUAAAAUUUUUGAUUUCUGUCGAGCCGUUGACGAGAUACACCACUUUUAAUUUUCGGUUGGAGAAGAGUAGUGGUGCUUUAUUAACUAUUAAAUGUUUUAGAAAACAAAUUCCGGAAAAUGUUAAUACUUUACGAGAUUAUGAGUUCACCCACUUAAAUGAAUUACCUGAUACGGAUGAUAGGGAGAAAGAACUAUCCGUCUGUCUGUCCUUAUAAUAAUACGAUUAAAUAGGAUAGUACUGUUACCGAUCAUAUAAAAUCAAUGCUUGAAUUGAGUGUGGGGGACUCGGAGGGAUGGAAUACCUUUUAUUUUCAUAAAA